This is a long non-coding RNA of Pseudopipra pipra, 361 nucleotides long. RefSeq lists it as uncharacterized. The record is from RefSeq and is a predicted model, not a curated record. The transcript is spliced from 3 exons. Lineage: Eukaryota; Metazoa; Chordata; Aves; Passeriformes; Pipridae.
CGCACCCGCACACCCGGACACCCCCCUUCCCCUCACGGCCCGAGAGAGCGGAGAAAUCCCCGUGUUUGUGUGUAUGUUCCCCAUCGUCUCCUUUGAUCCUAAAGUAUGUCAGCAGUCUGUAGUCUUGGGAAUUUCAUAGCAGCCACCUGUGGGAACAAUUAAGAAGAAACAAGGAGCCUCUGCCGUCCUGACAUAUAAUGUGCAAUAAAAUCUAGCCUCUGGAAGAAAAGCUUAGAAUCCAUGAGGGAGAAAAUACAUCCUCCUGGUAGUUGUUUAGAGCACUGAGAACCCUCUGUGGAUACAAGGCAUGAGAUUAUAGAUCUAAUAAAAAUGUCUGUAAAAUAGAAAGUAAUUGAGAUGU